UACGUAGGUGGCGAGCGUUAUCCGGAAUGAUUGGGCGUAAAGGGUGCGUAGGCGGCCUGCUAAGUCUGGAGUGAAAGGUACCGGCUCAACCGGUACAGGCUCUGGAAACUGGCGGGCUAGAGAGCAGGAGAGGGCGGUGGAACUCCGUGUGUAGCGGUGAAAUGCGUAGAUAUAUGGAAGAACACCAGUGGCGAAAGCGGCUCUCUGGUCUGUAACUGACGCUGAGGUUCGAAAGCGUGGGUAGCAAACAGG
Molecule: ribosomal RNA, 252 nt
Filed under: uncultured bacterium
Lineage: Bacteria
Description: partial 16S ribosomal RNA
Rfam family: Bacterial small subunit ribosomal RNA
Source: RNAcentral